Molecule: long non-coding RNA, 493 nt
Filed under: Pongo abelii (Sumatran orangutan)
Lineage: Eukaryota; Metazoa; Chordata; Mammalia; Primates; Hominidae
Description: lincRNA
Source: RNAcentral
CUCUGUUGAAGAGUGGCAAGACUCUCGCGAGUUCUUAAAAAUGCACUUGUUUGGUAUGAGAAUGAAAAGCAGUGGCUGAAGAACCAAUCUUCAAUGGGCAAGCCUUCUCUGAUGCCUUGUUUGAGGUAUAGUGUGAAUCCAUUAGCACGGAACUCAGGACCAGCAAUGGUGCGACUCAGGCCUGAAGGAAGCUUUUCUAGCACAUGGAUUUCCUCUGUAAGGCACCUCACAGCCUCUCGUGCCUGGGAACUCUAGCCAGCACUGCAGCACGAUGCCCGGGGCCAUUAUAAAUGUGAAAUUACCAAAGAAACCCCACAAAAAUGUGAAAAUCAUGGCACUAAAUAGACCACAAAAAGGAUGCUUGUUUGCAGUAUGAGAACUGAAACCAGAAAUUUCUCCCCACUCUGCCAGUGUCUUUGAGUGACCAGGAAAUUGCUGGGAAUAUUCAUUUUGGGACAACAAAUAAAUUUUAUCAAGUAGCUGAAUUUGCAAA